GACGAACGCUGGCGGCGUGCUUAACACAUGCAAGUCGAACGGAAAGGCCCUGCUUUUGUGGGGUGCUCGAGUGGCGAACGGGUGAGUAACACGUGAGUAACCUGCCCUUGACUUUGGGAUAACUUCAGGAAACUGGGGCUAAUACCGGAUAGGAGCUCCUGCUGCAUGGUGGGGGUUGGAAAGUUUCGGCGGUUGGGGAUGGACUCGCGGCUUAUCAGCUUGUUGGUGGGGUAGUGGCUUACCAAGGCUUUGACGGGUAGCCGGCCUGAGAGGGUGACCGGGCACAAUGGGAAUGAGAGACGGCCCAGACUGCUACGGGAGGCAGCAGGGGGGAAUAUGGCACAAGGGGCGGACGCCUGAUGCAGCAGCGCCGCGUGCGGGAUGACGGCCUUCGGGUGGUAAACCACUUUCGCCUGUGACGAAGCGUGAGUGACGGUAAUGGGUAAAGAAGCACCGGCUAACUACGUG
RNAcentral lists this ribosomal RNA (468 nucleotides) under uncultured bacterium. RNAcentral describes it as "partial 16S ribosomal RNA". It matches the Rfam family "Bacterial small subunit ribosomal RNA", at positions 28 to 507 of the family's 1533-position model. The record is from RNAcentral.